UUGAUAAGCGUGAGGUCGGAGGUUCAAGUCCUCCCAGGCCCACCAGUUCCGCUAUGCUGCACUUUGCUCUGAUAAGCUGAGAAGGCGCUCAGUGAGACUGAUCGUAAUCCCUUUUUGGAUAAUUCCUUAAAAGAAUUUAUUGCCUCAAUCAAUUUUUUCUAAAAGUGUUUAGAACCUCCAUAGAAACUUAAAGCUUUCUAGAGCAAUGAACUCUUCAUGAGAAAUUUGGACCCUUCGUGAGAAAGUAUUGUCUCUCCUUUUCAAUAAGGGACAAAACAGGGAAAAGAGCAGGCCAAUAUUGUGUCUCUGUUUGUUUUAAAAAGCCUCUGUUUUUUAGAAUAUAGCGUUUUUAAAAGAGCAAGAUGUGAGGGAGUUUUAGCUGUUUUAGGGGCCGUAGCUCAGCUGGGAGAGCACCUGGUUUG
Molecule: unclassified non-coding RNA, 422 nt
Filed under: uncultured Bartonella sp.
Lineage: Bacteria; Pseudomonadati; Pseudomonadota; Alphaproteobacteria; Hyphomicrobiales; Bartonellaceae
Description: partial 16S-23S ribosomal RNA intergenic spacer
Source: RNAcentral